GGGAAUGUGACUCAGUAGUAGAGUGCUUGACUUCCAUGCAUGAAGCCCUGGGUUCAAUUCCUCAAUACCA
Molecule: non-coding RNA, 70 nt
Organism: Dipodomys ordii (Ord's kangaroo rat)
Lineage: Eukaryota; Metazoa; Chordata; Mammalia; Rodentia; Heteromyidae
Source: Rfam